RNAcentral lists this long non-coding RNA (1735 nucleotides) under Olea europaea subsp. europaea. Lineage: Eukaryota; Viridiplantae; Streptophyta; Magnoliopsida; Lamiales; Oleaceae. The record is from RNAcentral.
CAAAAUUCUUCAAUAUUUAUUUUGCCUAUAUUUCCUCGUGAACUUGUGCUUUAUUAAUCAUUGAGCUUCAACAUUAAAAAGAUCCGGGAUGUAAUUCCCUGCUUUUUGCCUCGUGAACUUGUGCUUUAUUAAUCAUUGAGCUUCAACAUUAAAAAGAUCCGGGAUGUAAUUCCCUGCUUUCUGGCGCACUUUUCUCAGUGUAGUCUGGUCUAGGAUAGGAAUGACGGGGAAAAUAUUGAUUUUCCUUCAGCAUAAUGUUGAUAAGCUUUCAUAGUCACACAAUUCUGUGUGUACUGAUUGGUAGGUGAUGGUUAUACACUGUUUUUUAAAGAUUGGAUUUUGAUCUACAGGGAUUGGGGGUAUGAUAUGGCAACUACUAUGCCAUUAUUGAUAUAUCUUAAUUGCUAAGUUUGUUUUUCAUUGUACUUCCAAGAUCAUCCCAUAACUCCAAGAAUUGGGGGAUGCUCGGGAACUCUCUGUUUGUACUCUAUUUUAUUGAGGUGCAAGUGUAUUGGGAUGGUUUGAUUUUGCAUGACACAUAAACUUUCUAGGUUUUGUUUGGUUUUGGCUUGGGAUACAACCUUCGAGGCAUACUUUGAGAUGGGGAUCGUAUUUCUUUUUAGUGUACUUUAUAAUCCUAAGAUUUCCUUUUCUUUUAAAUUUAGAUCAUGAAGAAAGGCAGCAUCUAUUGUGAUAGUGGCUAGAAACAAAAACUAUGAUCUCAAUAUAUUUAGGAUGUAAUGCUUUUUGCUCUCGUAUCUUAAUUAGUCAUCAGUGUAUAUGAGUUUACUGGUUGAAUGUGUAGUUGUCAAUGAGUUUAAUGAAUCUCUACCAAACAUGAGCAUAGUAUGGAUACUUGGGAAAAGUUAUGGGUACACGUGCAAAAUUAUUUUAUUGGGAAAUGUGUAGUUGUAAAGAAAAAAUGAGCAUAAAGAAUCUCCACCAAACAUGAGCAUAGUGUGGAUACCUGAAUGAAAAGUGAAAGCCGAUUCUUUUUCAAGGCUUAAGAGGAGUUGUGAAGAUAUAGGUUAUAAAUUUGUGAUUUCUUGAACGAAGUGCUGACAUCAAGGAUGUAUCAUAAUAGCGUUCUCAUCUUCGUAAUGAAUUUAUUAAAUUAUCACUUGAUUCCUGAUUUUUCAUUUGAUUACUCAGAAGUAAUUCCUACACUGGAUUCUUUUGAAGAAAAUACCGGCUGCAGUGAGAUUUGACCUUAUGCGAAGUGCUAAUAUAUUUACCUGUUAGUGUUACUUUUGUUGAAACUAACACUUCUCUUAUUUUUCUGGAUUGUGCAUGUGCCAACAGGACCAAUACUAUGUGGAAAAACAAUACUGAGAUCAACUAUUCUUUCUUAUUGCUUUCUCCACUUCCAAAAGGAUAAAAAGCACAUGGCACGUGCUCUAAGGAUGGCUGGUCUCAAUGUCUCUUCUACAGGGUCGCCCCGAAGUUCAAUGUCCUAGUUAAAGAAUAUGUCCGCCAAAUCCAGACAACGAGAAGAAUUGCACAGAAUGCAACUUCAGAAAUUGCUGAUAUGAAGGAGAAUAGCAGUCCUUGAAUCUCUAGGUAAUGGAAAUAUAUUAGUAAUUUUUGUUUCUUUGAACACGUUAUGAACAAAGUUGAUGAAUCUGCAAAUAGUGGAUUUUAGAACAAACUCUAUUGUCAAUAGACGAACCUACUCGAGAGUAUCGUGGGAGAUGGAAUCUUGUGCAUAUUACAGGUACUUUUCCUUGGACGAACA